AUUGAACGCUGGCGGCAGGCCUAACACAUGCAAGUCGAACGGUAGCACAGAGAGCUUGCUCUCGGGUGACGAGUGGCGGACGGGUGAGUAAUGUCUGGGAAACUGCCCGAUGGAGGGGGAUAACUACUGGAAACGGUAGCUAAUACCGCAUAACGUCGCAAGACCAGAGUGGGGGACCUUCGGGCCUCACACCAUCGGAUGUGCCCAGAUGGGAUUAGCUAGUAGGUGGGGUAAUGGCUCACCUAGGCGACGAUCCCUAGCUGGUCUGAGAGGAUGACCAGCCAAACUGGAACUGAGACACGGUCCAGACUCCUACGGGAGGCAGCAGUGGGGAAUAUUGCACAAUGGGCGCAAGCCUGAUGCAGCCAUGCCGCGUGUAUGAAGAAGGCCUUCGGGUUGUAAAGUACUUUCAGCGGGGAGGAAGGCGGUGGAGUUAAUAACUUCACCGAUUGACGUUACCCGCAGAAGAAGCACCGGCUAACUCCGUGCCAGCCGCCGCGGUAA
Molecule: ribosomal RNA, 504 nt
Filed under: uncultured bacterium
Lineage: Bacteria
Description: partial 16S ribosomal RNA
Rfam family: Bacterial small subunit ribosomal RNA
Source: RNAcentral